GGCGUCGUAGCCAAGUGGUAAGGCAAUGGACUGCAACUCCGUGACCCCCGGUUCAAAUCCGGGCGACGCCU
Molecule: transfer RNA, 71 nt
Filed under: Oscillospiraceae bacterium
Lineage: Bacteria; Bacillati; Bacillota; Clostridia; Eubacteriales; Oscillospiraceae
Description: tRNA-Cys
Rfam family: tRNA
About the family: Transfer RNA (tRNA) molecules are approximately 80 nucleotides in length.
Source: RNAcentral